RNAcentral lists this ribosomal RNA (778 nucleotides) under uncultured Neocallimastigales. RNAcentral describes it as "partial large subunit ribosomal RNA". It matches the Rfam family "Eukaryotic large subunit ribosomal RNA", at positions 23 to 646 of the family's 3401-position model. The record is from RNAcentral. Lineage: Eukaryota; Fungi; Neocallimastigomycota; Neocallimastigomycetes; Neocallimastigales.
AGAGAGAGACAUGCGCGCAUAUCAAUAAGCGGAGGAAAAGAAACUAACUAGGAUUCCCCUCAGUAACGGCGAGUGAAGCGGGAAGAGCUCAAAUUUGAAAUCUUAAAGGGUUUCCCUUGACGAAUUGUAGUUUAAAGAAGUGUUUUCUGUUGAGGUUUUGGUAAAAGUUCUUUGGAAUAGGACAUCAUAGAGGGUGAGAAUCCCGUAUUUGACCUUUACUUUCAACUUUGUGAUACACUUUCAAAGAGUCGGAUUGUUUGGGAAUGCAGUCCAAAAUGGGUGGUAAAUUUCAUCUAAAGCUAAAUAUUGGCGAGAGACCGAUAGCGAACAAGUACCGUGAGGGAAAGAUGAAAAGAACUUUGAAAAGAGAGUUAAACAGUACGUGAAAUUGUCAAAAGGGAAGCGUUUGACACCAGUGUUGUUUUCUCGAAAAUCAAUUAAAGAAGCAUGAUUUAUGUAAGUUGUAUUAGACUUUAUCAGCUUACUGCACUCGUUUCUUGUCCUUUUUAAUGCACUUUUCAGUUAACAAGUCAACAUCAAUUUCUUUUGUUGUAAAAGGGUCAUUGGAAGGUGGCUUUCUUUUCGGAGAAAGUGUUUAUAGCCUUUGGCCUCUGCAAUCGGAGAGAUUGAGGUCUGCAGCGUAGAUCCUUCGGGGUUAGAUACAUUUGUGCUAAGUUAUAGCCUUUCAUAGACAACUUGUUGACUAUGAUCAGUCAUGUAGCUUACUCGCUUAUGCUAUUUUACCUACGCUUAGGAUGUUGAUGUGAUACUGCGAGCA